GGCUCAUUGUAUCAUGUUUAAUAUCAAGAGUUAUAUUCUUCUCCCGUGCUUUCUCACAAAAAAGUUAAGACAAACUUUUAGAUCAAUGAAAUUACUCCCAAUCCAUCCGAACUAGACAGCUUGGGAAGGUUAUACUCAUAUGGGCUAAGUUUGACACCCCUAGUUAGCAGCUGAUUCCCUCUACAUGCAACAGCAAACAGAUUGAUCCUCUUAGAAAUGACUCAGGAUUUCUGAAAACAUGCUCAUGUUGUAAUAUCAGAUAAGGAUGCUCUAGAGGACGGGGGCGGACCCAGAUGAACCCGCUUCGCCGGAAAAUAAUACGGUAUAUAUAGGUAUAUUUUAUCUUACUUCCAGUAAAUGCUGUUAUAUAUUUUUUGUUGACCCCGCUUUUCACAAUCACACGGUCCAGCCCACUGGCAAAGUGGGUUCAAAAUCCUAGAAUACCUAGGUUCGAAUCCAGUCUGCUGCGUAUGUUUUUGGGCACUCUUUUGUUACCCUAUAUACGACACUCUUUUUCCCCAUAUACGUACAAUAUAGGAAAAGUUCUACCUCUCCUACACUCUCUUUUUCCCCAUAUACGUACAACAACAACAACUACCCAGUAUAAUCCCACCAGGUGGGGGCUGGGGAGGGUAAUACGUACCAAGCCUUACCCCUACCCGAAAGGGCAGAGAGGCUGUUUCCGAUCGACCAUCGGCUCAGGAAAAGAAAAAUAAAAACAAAAGCCAAAAAUAAAAACAAAAAAGCAAAAACAGGAGAGUAUUAGUAACUCUAUGAAAAAUCACAUAGACAAUUAUCAAACCAUAAACCAUAAGUAAAAUGGCAUGCAGUAAUCUCAAAACAUAAACCAAUGCACAAAUCAUAUAUAGAGUGCCCUCCAAGAAACAUCACAUAGACAAUUAUCAAAACAUAAACCAUAAACCAUAAGUAAAAUGGCAUGCAGUAAUCUCAAAACAUGAACCAAUGCACAAAUCAUCUAUAAAGGGCCCUAACAAACCCCCAGACCGGGCAAGAAGUGCGAAAGAAACAAAGGGCCCCAAUCCGACAACCCUGAUACUAGACCUCCAGACUCUCCUAUCAAGGGCCAUGUCCGCAGAAAUCUGCAAUCUA
This 1110-nucleotide long non-coding RNA is filed under the name Nicotiana benthamiana. RNAcentral describes it as "long non-coding RNA (NBEN_LNC041884)". Lineage: Eukaryota; Viridiplantae; Streptophyta; Magnoliopsida; Solanales; Solanaceae. The record is from RNAcentral.